CCUACGGGAGACAGCAGUGAGGAAUAUUUGUCAAUGGGCGCGAGCCUGAUCCAGCCAAGUAGCGUGAAGGAUGACUGCCCUACGGGUUGUAAACUUCUUUUAUAAAGGAAUAAAGUGAGGCACGUGUGCCUUUUUGUAUGUACUUUAUGAAUACGGAUCGGCUAACUCCGUGCCAGCAGCCGCGGUAAUACGGAGGAUCCGAGCGUUAUCCGGAUUUAUUGGGUUUAAAGGGAGAGUAGAUGGGUUGUUAAGUCAGUUGUGAAAGUUUGCGGCUCAACCGUAAAAUUGCAAUUGAUACUGGCAGUCUUGAGUACAGUUGAGGUAGGCGGAAUUCGUGGUGUAGCGGUGAAAUGCUUAGAUAUCACGAAGAACUCCGAUUGCGAAGGCAGCUUACUAAACUGCCACUGACAUUGAUGCUCGAAAGUGUGGGUAUCAAACAGGAUUAGAUACCCCUGUAGUC
This 460-nucleotide ribosomal RNA is filed under the name uncultured bacterium. RNAcentral describes it as "partial 16S ribosomal RNA". It matches the Rfam family "Bacterial small subunit ribosomal RNA", at positions 338 to 795 of the family's 1533-position model. The record is from RNAcentral.